This 253-nucleotide ribosomal RNA is filed under the name uncultured bacterium. RNAcentral describes it as "partial 16S ribosomal RNA". It matches the Rfam family "Bacterial small subunit ribosomal RNA", at positions 524 to 776 of the family's 1533-position model. The record is from RNAcentral.
GACGGAGGAUGCAAGCGUUAUCCGGAAUUAUUGGGCGUAAAGCGUCCGCAGGUGGUCAUACAAGUCUGCUGUCAAAGUGCAGAGCUUAACUCUGUAAAGGCGGUGGAAACUGUAGGUCUUGAGUAUGGUAGGGGUAGAGGGAAUUCCCGGUGUAGCGGUGAAGUGCGUAGAUAUCGGGAAGAACACCAGUGGCGAAAGCGCUCUACUGGGCCAUAACUGACACUGAGGGACGAAAGCUAGGGGAGCGAAAGGG